This is a non-coding RNA of Triticum aestivum (bread wheat), 115 nucleotides long. NCBI's taxonomy places the organism in Eukaryota, Viridiplantae, Streptophyta, Magnoliopsida, Poales, Poaceae. The record is from Rfam.
CAAGUACUCCUUCCGUCCGGAGUUACUUCUCAUCAAAAUGGAUGUGUCUAGAACUAAAAUACAUCUAGAUACAUCCAUUUCAAUGACAAGUAUUUUCGGACGGAGGGAGUACAAG